This 417-nucleotide ribosomal RNA is filed under the name uncultured Methanothermobacter sp. Its description in RNAcentral is "bacterial SSU rRNA". It matches the Rfam family "Archaeal small subunit ribosomal RNA", at positions 330 to 747 of the family's 1478-position model. Lineage: Archaea; Methanobacteriati; Methanobacteriota; Methanobacteria; Methanobacteriales; Methanobacteriaceae. The record is from RNAcentral.
GUGCAGCAGUCGAGAAACCUCCGCAAUGCACGCAAGUGCGACGGGGGGACCCCAAGUGCCACUCUUAACGGGGUGGCUUUUCAGGAGUGUAAAAAGCUCCUGGAAUAAGGGCUGGGCAAGACCGGUGCCAGCCGCCGCGGUAACACCGGCAGCUCGAGUGGUAGCCGCGUUUAUUGGGCCUAAAGCGUCCGUAGCCGGUCCGAUAAGUCUCUGGUGAAAGCCCACAGCUCAACCGUGGGAAUCGCUGGAGAUACUAUCGGACUUGAGGCCGGGAGAGGCUGGAGGUACUCCCAGGGUAGGGGUGAAAUCCUAUAAUCCUGGGAGGACCACCUGUGGCGAAGGCGUCCAGCUGGAACGGACCUGACGGUGAGGGACGAAAGCCAGGGGCGCGAACCGGAUUAGAUACCCAGGUAGUCC